Molecule: non-coding RNA, 43 nt
Organism: Ictidomys tridecemlineatus (thirteen-lined ground squirrel)
Lineage: Eukaryota; Metazoa; Chordata; Mammalia; Rodentia; Sciuridae
Source: Rfam
UCAGGGUGGUGGCUGGGGGCAGCCUCAUGGUGGUGGAGGCUGG